RNAcentral lists this non-coding RNA (119 nucleotides) under Rhodanobacter spathiphylli. RNAcentral describes it as "Rhodanobacter sp. SAM-I sequence". It matches the Rfam family "SAM riboswitch aptamer (S box leader)". Rfam says of the family: The SAM riboswitch is found upstream of a number of genes which code for proteins involved in methionine or cysteine biosynthesis in Gram-positive bacteria. The record is from RNAcentral. Lineage: Bacteria; Pseudomonadati; Pseudomonadota; Gammaproteobacteria; Lysobacterales; Rhodanobacteraceae.
UGCUCAUCGAGACCGGCUGAGGGACAGGCCCUUGGAAGCCGGGGCAACCCGCACGAUCGCAAGGUCGUGCACGGUGCCAACUCCUGCGGAGGCGCGCUGCGCCGCCCGAAAGAUGAGUC